Molecule: non-coding RNA, 30 nt
Filed under: Rattus norvegicus (Norway rat)
Lineage: Eukaryota; Metazoa; Chordata; Mammalia; Rodentia; Muridae
Source: RNAcentral
UCUUAUCAAGGAGAAAAUUCUUAGUGUGAA